GAUGAACGCUGGCGGCGUGCCUAACACAUGCAAGUCGAGCGAUCUUCUUCGGAAGAGAGCGGCGGACGGGUGAGUAACGCGUGGGUAACCUGCCCUGUACACACGGAUAACAUACCGAAAGGUAUGCUAAUACGGGAUAACAUACUUUUAUCGCAUGGUAGAAGUAUCAAAGCUCCGGCGGUACAGGAUGGACCCGCGUCUGAUUAGCUAGUUGGUACGGUAACGGCUUACCAAGGCGACGAUCAGUAGCCGACCUGAGAGGGUGAUCGGCCACAUUGGAACUGAGACACGGUCCAAACUCCUACGGGAGGCAGCAGUGGGGAAUAUUGCACAAUGGGCGAAAGCCUGAUGCAGCAACGCCGCGUGAGCGAUGAAGGCCUUCGGGUCGUAAAGCUCUGUCCUCAAGGAAGAUAAUGACGGUACUUGAGGAGGAAGCCCCGGCUAACUACGUGCCAGCCGCCGCCGUAA
This 468-nucleotide ribosomal RNA is filed under the name uncultured bacterium. RNAcentral describes it as "partial 16S ribosomal RNA". It matches the Rfam family "Bacterial small subunit ribosomal RNA", at positions 28 to 523 of the family's 1533-position model. The record is from RNAcentral.